GAAUCCUUAAUGCGUUCUCAAGGCCCAGCCCAGGCGGCGCUUGCCACGUCCGCCUCUCCUGGUUUCGGUUUCCGUGUGUCUCCAUCUUGGCCUGCGCAGACCCGACGUCGGCAGAGUGAAGUCUCUGAGAUCUGAGCCACCCCAGCUACCACUUAGGGCAAAACGGGUUACAGAGACCAAGCAGAAAGACAGGGAGAGCCUGUGCUUCCAAUCUUCCGAUCCUGGUAGGAUAAAAAGUGUUCUCUCACCACAGAGCGCCUCUACUGCAAGAACUCUGAAAGAAAUGAAGAAAGCCUUCCAAAAUGAAGUUGACAUCUCGUGGUACGCCGAGCCCUGCUGAGUGGAUGGAAGCUGGGUGAGAGCCUGGCCGCUGACUUCUGGACCAUGGCGAUGUGCCCCGUGUCCGCCGAGGUCAUCCACCAGGUGGAGGAGUCCCUUGACGAGGACGAGAAGGAGAUGAUGCUUUUCUUAUGUAGAGAUGUGGCCGAGAACCUGGCCCCACCUAACGUGAGGGAGCUCCUGGGCAGCUUAAGUGAGAGAGGUCAGCUCUCUGUGGCUACCCUGGCUGAACUGCUCUACAGAGUGAGGCGCUUCGACCUGCUCAAGAGGGUUUUGAAGACAGACAAAGCAGCCGUGGAGGCUCACCUUCAUAGGAACCCUCACCUUGUUUCUGAUUAUAGGGUGCUGAUGAUGGAGAUUGGUGAGAAUUUGGAUAAAUCCGAUGUUUCCUCGUUAAUUUUCCUUACAAGAGAUUACACAGGCCGAGGCAAGGUAACCAAGGACAAGAGUUUCUUGGAUCUGGUGAUUGAACUGGAGAAACUGAAUCUGAUUGCUUCAGAUCAAUUGAAUUUAUUGGAAAAAUGCCUGAAGAAUAUCCACAGAAUAGACUUGAAGACAAAAAUUCAGAAGUACACGCAGUCUGGCCAAGGAGCAGGAUUAAAGUAUAUGAACUCUCUCCAGGCUUCUCUUCCAAACUUGAGUGUCAAGGAGCCUUCGUAUAAUUCAAGGUUCCAGAAUGGGCGAAGUAAAGAACAAAGACUUGUGGAAAACCUUGGCAUUCAAAAAAAACCAGUGAAGACAUCCAUCCAGGAAUCGGGAGCUUUUCUGACUCCGCACAUAUACGAAGAGAGUUACAGGAUGCAGAGCAAGCCCCUAGGGAUCUGCUUGAUCAUUGAUUGCAUUGGCAAUGACACAGAAUAUCUUCGAGAGACCUUCAUUUCCCUGGACUAUCAUGUCCAGUCUUUCUUGUUUCCUAGUGCGGAUGAUAUACCCCAGAUUCUUCGCCGAUUUGCCCAUCUGCCCCAACAACGAGACUAUGACAGCUUCGUAUGUGUUCUAGUGAGCCGAGGAGACUCCCAAAGAAUGAUGGGCGUGGAUCAGGCCCACUCAGGAUUCUCCUGGGAUUGUGUCAAGAGUAUGUUCAUGGGGGACAUGUGCCCUUCUCUCAUAGGGAAGCCAAAGCUCUUCUUUAUUCAGAACUAUGAGGUGAUAGGUGGCCAGUCAGAAGACAGCAGCCUGGAGGUCGAUGGGCCAGCAAUAAGGAAUUGGGACUCUAAGGCCCUGCAUCCUGGCCCCAGCAUGAUUCACCGGGAAGCCGACUUCUUCUGGAGCCUUUGCACAGCGGAUGUGUCCCAGCUGGAGAAGCCCUCCAGCUCAUCCUCUGUGUACCUGCAGAACCUCUCCCAGAAGCUGCAGCAAGAAAGGAAACGCCCGCUCGUGGAUCUCCAUGUCGAGCUCACGGACAAGGUUUAUACCUGGAACAGCAGAGUUUCUCCUAAGGAGAAAUACUAUUUGAGCCUGCAGCAUACUCUGCGAAAGAAGCUCAUCUUAUCUACAUGAAAACCUGAUGCCUUUCGGGUUUUUGGAAUGUAGACCAGGGUGGCUUGGAGCUGGCAAACCUCCUGAUUGCUGGGGAACAGCACUGGAAGGUCACACCUGCUCUGGUUCUGGUGCAAGGGCUGCUGCCAUGGACCACACCACUCCAGCCACCAUUCCUCCCCACUAUGAUGGCCAAGUGAACCUCUCCUCCUUAAGUUCCUGUGUCAGAUAUUUUGGCACAGUGUGGAGAAUGAUGGGAGCUCUCGGCUUUCUUCUGCUGCCGCCACGCCUGCUGGAGGCUUGCUGCCGUGCUUCUCUGCCAGGACAGACUUUCUCCUGGAACUGUUUCAUGCUUUUUGAACAAGGCCAUCCCCUCAGAUUUGGAAAACCAUUGGAGGCACAACCAAGUGUGAUGUACUUUCACCUACCCUACAACUCAAGCAGGGCUUGGCUCAAAGGAAACAACAAAAAUCCAAAAGGCACCAUACAAGGAUGGAAAAGGACACACCCAGAGACAAGCUGCAGAGAAGACUCAGAGACCAGAGCAGCUGCCUGGAAGAGGCAGAAACCAGCUGAGCUGCCUGGAAGGUUUAGACCAACCGAGGCACCUGGAAAGGACAGUGUCCAAAGUGUUGACAGCCUGCAGGCUGUCCAGUGUGCUCCAGGUCCCCAGCGUUGUGAGCUGUCACCCAUGCUUGGGUGGGCUUUGGUGAUGCAGCUGUCUUCCAGUCAUUUCUGCUCACGUAAGUAAGCCCUCACGAGUAUUCCUGUAAGUAUCCCAAUAAAAUUCAUUGGUUCACAAA
Molecule: RNA transcript, 2621 nt
Organism: Mesocricetus auratus (golden hamster)
Lineage: Eukaryota; Metazoa; Chordata; Mammalia; Rodentia; Cricetidae
Gene: Cflar
Gene name: CASP8 and FADD like apoptosis regulator
Exons: 13
Source: RefSeq, a predicted model, not a curated record